CUUCCCAUUAGCAACGUUGUCAGCACUGCACUCAAGACCAGGGGAUGACCAAUCUGAUUCCCAAAUCCUACAUUUCUGGAGCCAUUCCCAGUCCUUAUCAAUCAGGGUCCAAUCGAAAGCCAGAAACCACGCCCUGAUUUUAAAAGGAAGACGAGGACCACAUUUGAUAUUUCUCUACAUUAGCUCCAAGUAAGCACAGUGCUUAGGAAAUGCAUCCUAUCCAUCUUACAUCCCUACGGCCUAACAUGUGGGGAGCAGGUAAACAGCAGGUAUGAAAGCUGAGGCUCUGAGAAUUUAAACAACUUACCCAACAUCACCUGGCUGUUAAGUGCAAAUUAAAUUCAUGUUUGUUUGACUCUAUUCAUUGUACUAUGUGUUGGAAAUAAAUGUGAA
This is a long non-coding RNA of Hyaena hyaena (striped hyena), 393 nucleotides long. RefSeq lists it as uncharacterized. The record is from RefSeq and is a predicted model, not a curated record. The transcript is spliced from 3 exons. Lineage: Eukaryota; Metazoa; Chordata; Mammalia; Carnivora; Hyaenidae.